This 253-nucleotide ribosomal RNA is filed under the name uncultured bacterium. Its description in RNAcentral is "partial 16S ribosomal RNA". It matches the Rfam family "Bacterial small subunit ribosomal RNA", at positions 524 to 776 of the family's 1533-position model. The record is from RNAcentral.
UACGUAGGGGGCAAGCGUUGUCCGGAAUCAUUGGGCGUAAAGCGCGCGUAGGCGGCUAGAUCAGUCUGCUGUAAAAGUCAAAGGCUCAACCUUUGAAAGCCGGUGGAUACUGUCUAGCUAGAGUCCGGAAGAGGCGAGUGGAAUUCCUGGUGUAGCGGUGGAAUGCGCAGAUAUCAGGAGGAACACCAACGGCGAAGGCAGCUCGCUGGGACGGUACUGACGCUGAGGUGCGAAAGCGUGGGGAGCAAACAGG